AGCCCGGUUAGUAUAUUCAGUAUUACAACCGUUUUGUAAUCAGUAGAAGUAAGUGCAAUUCUUACACUGGGCUA
RNAcentral lists this transfer RNA (74 nucleotides) under Pyronema omphalodes. RNAcentral's name for it is "tRNA-Thr". It matches the Rfam family "tRNA". From Rfam's summary of the family: Transfer RNA (tRNA) molecules are approximately 80 nucleotides in length. The record is from RNAcentral. Lineage: Eukaryota; Fungi; Ascomycota; Pezizomycetes; Pezizales; Pyronemataceae.